AUGUUCUUUUGGUUUUAUUUAAAAGAUUUGGCCUGCUCACUGAGGAUUUAAAGAGCUGCAGUAUUAUGACUGUACAAAGGUAGCAUAAUCAUUAGUUUUUUAAUUGGAGACUGGUAUGAAAGGUUUGACACGGAAGCACUGUCUUAAAUCUAAUAAUUGAAUUUUUCUUUUUUGUUAAAAGACAAAAAUGAUUAUAAGGGACAAGAAGACCCUUUUAAAGUUAAUUAAUAGGGUAAUAUUUUACAUAUAUUAUUAUUGUAUUAUUAUUUAGGUUAGUUUGGCUGGGGCGGCAAAUGUAAUUAUAAACAACAUUUAAAAUAAAUAUGGAAAAAGCUGUUUUUAAGGUCUUAUUAGAAGACAGAAAGAAAAAGUUACUAAAGGGAUAACAGCGUAAUAUGUUUUAAGAGUUCUUAUUGACAAACAUG
RNAcentral lists this ribosomal RNA (425 nucleotides) under Megaphyllum bosniense. Its description in RNAcentral is "partial small subunit ribosomal RNA". Lineage: Eukaryota; Metazoa; Arthropoda; Diplopoda; Julida; Julidae. The record is from RNAcentral.